This 72-nucleotide transfer RNA is filed under the name Bos taurus (domestic cattle). It matches the Rfam family "tRNA". From Rfam's summary of the family: Transfer RNA (tRNA) molecules are approximately 80 nucleotides in length. Their secondary structure includes four short double-helical elements and three loops (D, anti-codon, and T loops). Further hydrogen bonds mediate the characteristic L-shaped molecular structure. tRNAs have two regions of fundamental functional importance: the anti-codon, which is responsible for specific mRNA codon recognition, and the 3' end, to which the tRNAs corresponding amino acid is attached (by aminoacyl-tRNA synthetases). tRNAs cope with the degeneracy of the genetic code in two manners: having more than one tRNA (with a specific anti-codon) for a particular amino acid; and 'wobble' base-pairing, i.e. permitting non-standard base-pairing at the 3rd anti-codon position. Lineage: Eukaryota; Metazoa; Chordata; Mammalia; Artiodactyla; Bovidae. The record is from Rfam by way of RNAcentral. RNAcentral also lists the same sequence under 5 other names.
UCCCUGGUGGCUCAGUGGUAAAGAAUCUGCCUGCCAAAGCAGAAGACGUGGGUUCUAUUCCUGGUCUGGGAA